AAAUAGUAUAUGGUUCAGGGCUUGGCCGCACAAGAUAGGAUUUUUUCUUUGGCAGGUCUAUCGCAAAAAGAUUGCAACAAUGGACAUGGAAAUUCUUCGCAAGAAAACGUACUUUGAUAGUCAAUGGUUGUCUCUCUUGCUGCAAAACAGGACGGAGGUUCUAAAACUUGACAGCCGCUGGUCAUGUGCUUUGGAUGAUCCUUCCAGCAGCAAUCUCAUGGACAAUCUGGAGGCAUCGGAACAAGCUUGUCUUUGAAAACGUAUUUUUCAGUGUGGAAAAGUUAUAAAACAAAUCAAAACUCAAGCUUUUUAUAGGUGCAAAAACCAUGAAGCUAUGCAAGGAAUUCAGCUUGAUAGUGUUGUGUCCAGUGAAGACAAUUCUAUGUAUAUUAAGUAGUUCUGUUUUCUUUCGGGUUUUGGGGUUCUAGGGGUUGAGCCUGUAUUCAAUCUCUGUGUGAUGUGGGUUUAUGUUUUUUGCCUCAAUCUAAUUCUUGCUUUUGCAGAGGGAGAAAAAAGAAGAUAAUUUCGGUCCACACUAUUUGGUCAACUAUUCAUUUUUACUGAAGGUAAAUUCGGUCAAUUAUUUGUAAUUUGUGAUAUAUACGCUUAUAGUUCGUUUUA
Long non-coding RNA from Papaver somniferum (opium poppy), 621 nucleotides. RefSeq lists it as uncharacterized. The record is from RefSeq and is a predicted model, not a curated record. The transcript has 2 exons. NCBI's taxonomy places the organism in Eukaryota, Viridiplantae, Streptophyta, Magnoliopsida, Ranunculales, Papaveraceae.